GACGUAGGGCGCGAGCGUUGUCCGGAUUUAUUGGGCGUAAAGAGCUCGUAGGCGGCUCGUUGCGUCGGCUGUGAAAACCCGCAGCUCAACUGUGGGCUUGCAGCUGAUACGGGCGGGCUGGGAUUCGGUAGGGGAGACUGGAAUUCCUGGUGUAGCGGUGAAAUGCGUAGAUAUCAGUCGGAACACCGGUGGCGAAGGCGGCUUCUUGGGCCGUUUCUGACGCUGAGGCGCGAAAGCCAGGGGAGCGAACGGG
RNAcentral lists this ribosomal RNA (253 nucleotides) under uncultured bacterium. RNAcentral describes it as "partial 16S ribosomal RNA". It matches the Rfam family "Bacterial small subunit ribosomal RNA", at positions 524 to 776 of the family's 1533-position model. The record is from RNAcentral.